CAUUACACAAAUAUGAAAGCAGACCCCCAGAGGGGCGACUUCUCGUGCCGCGUCCACUGCAGUCCUGUGCUGUUGUGCUGAAGCGGCGGGGGGAGACGCCUUUGUGGGCCAGUCUGACUCCAUAUUCACCCAUGUCUUUUGCGUACUACUUGUUUCCUUGGCGGGUUCGCCCGCCAAUUGGACCACAUUAAACCUUUUUUGUAAUUGCAAUCAGCGUCAGCAAAACAAUGUAAUAAAUUACAACUUUCAACAACGGAUCUCUUGGUUCUGGCAUCGAUGAAGAACGCAGCGAAAUGCGAUAAGUAGUGUGAAUUGCAGAAUUCAGUGAAUCAUCGAAUCUUUGAACGCACAUUGCGCCCUUUGGUAUUCCAAAGGGCAUGCCUGUUCGAGCGUCAUUUGUACCCUCAAGCUUUGCUUGGUGUUGGGCGUUUUUGUCUCGGGCCCGCCCGAGACUCGCCUUAAAAUCAUUGGCAGCCGGCCUACUGGUUUCGGAGCGCAGCACAUUUUUGCGCUUUGUCCAGUUGUGGUCCGCGUCCAUGAAGCGAAUUUUCAACGUUUGACCUCGGAUCAGGUAGGGAUACCCGCUGAACUUAAGCAUAUCAAUAAGCGGAGGAAAGAAACCAACAGGGAUUGCCCUAGUAACGGCGAGUGAAGCGGCAACAGCUCAAAUUUGAAAUCUGGCUCUUUCAGAGUCCGAGUUGUAAUUUGCAGAGGGCGCUUUGGCUUUGGCAGCGGUCCAAGUUCCUU
This 747-nucleotide ribosomal RNA is filed under the name fungal sp. RNAcentral's name for it is "eukaryotic LSU rRNA". The stretch from base 242 to 395 matches the Rfam family "5.8S ribosomal RNA". Lineage: Eukaryota; Fungi. The record is from RNAcentral.